Molecule: long non-coding RNA, 1079 nt
Filed under: Brassica napus (rape)
Lineage: Eukaryota; Viridiplantae; Streptophyta; Magnoliopsida; Brassicales; Brassicaceae
Description: long non-coding RNA (BNAP_LNC001828)
Source: RNAcentral
UGGUAGUAGUCUCGCUUUAUUUAUUGUCAAAUCAUAAAAACAUUAAAACUACUGAUAUUUUUAGGCUUUUUUUUCUUUCUGGUCACCGCUAUGAACCUUUUUUUUUUUUUUUUUUUUUUGGGCAACUGAAGAUUUUAAUAUAAAGCAGGAAGGUUUAGGAAAUUCAAGAGCUUGGGCUUGGGCCAGAAUGAAGACAAGCCUUGGCAUAUAAGUCCGCAGGCCCAUUUAGCUCCCUUUUGAUAAAUGAAAAACGACAUGAAAGUGAAGAAGAACGAGAUAACGCGGCGAUGUCCGAGAGUACUCCGUAAAGCUCGGUCGGAUGACGUCCCGCGGUGAUUGCUCCGAUGAGCACUUGAGAAUCUGAUUUUAACCAGAUGGUGUUGAGCUUGAGGUUGAUCGCGUGAUGGAGAGCGUUCCUUAUUGCUAAAGCUUCCGCCAUGAUAGCUGAGGAGACGUGUUCCUGAAAUAGAGAUCCUCGAGAGAUCUCCUUUCCUUGGAGAUCGGUGAAGAUCCAGGCCAAACCCGCUACUCCCGUGUCAGAUCGCCACGCUGCAUCGGUAUUGCAACAAAUGGAGAUGGGAUGGAGAUUCUGGUAGUUGGUGGAGCGGGUGAUGAUCUGGUAUGAUGAGUCCUUGUUGCGAAUCUUUGAUUGGGCGUGAUCCCAUUCCUUAAGGGCAAUGAUGGCUUUGAGGAUAACAUCGGGUGUUGUUGAAGGCUUCUUCUCGAAGACAAGAUUGUUCCUAGCGACCCACAGAUACCAACAAAUCCAAGGAAAAGCGUUGAUUGUGAAUCCAUACGGAGGAAGAGAAAUCCAGGAGCCAGACGAAAUGAGGGCCUCUUUAAAGGACACGAUUUGGGAGGUAUCGACUAAAUGAGACCAGGGACCUAGGCUCCAUACCUCGCGAGCGAAAGGGCAAUUAAACAGGAGGUGGAGAGUAGUUUCAGGUUCCCCGCAUCUACAGCACAGAAUAGGGGACCAGGGACCUAGGUUCCUCCACCGCUAUGAGCCCAGGGACCUAGGUUCCCCCACCGCUAUGAGCCUUAACUUUCAAGAACUCUGAAAUACGUACUCAUGCUUU